RNAcentral lists this ribosomal RNA (506 nucleotides) under uncultured bacterium. Its description in RNAcentral is "partial 16S ribosomal RNA". It matches the Rfam family "Bacterial small subunit ribosomal RNA", at positions 28 to 523 of the family's 1533-position model. The record is from RNAcentral.
GAUGAACGCUAGCUACAGGCUUAACACAUGCAAGUCGAGGGGUAACAAGAGAAAAGCUUGCUUUUCUUGUUGACGACCGGCGCACGGGUGAGUAACGCGUAUCCAACCUGCCUAUAACUAGGGAAUAACCUUGCGAAAGUAAGACUAAUACCCUAUGAUUUCCUUUGAUGGCAUCAGAUUAGGAAUAAAGAUUUAUCGGUUAUAGAUGGGGAUGCGUCUGAUUAGCUUGUUGGCGGGGUAACGGCCCAUCAAGGCAACGAUCAGUAGGGGUUCUGGGAGGAAGGUCCCCCGCAUUGGAACGAAGACACGGUCCAAACUCCUACGGGAGGCAGCAGUGAGGAAUAUUGGUCAAUGGGCGGAAGCCUGAACCAGCCAAGUAGCGUGCAAGAUGACGGCCCUAUGGGUUGUAAACUGCUUUUAUACAGGAAUAAAGUUAGCCACGUGUGGUUAUUUGUAGGUACUGUAUGAAUAAGGACCGGCUAAUUCCGUGCCAGCCGCCGCCGUAA